This is a non-coding RNA of Acanthosepion pharaonis, 114 nucleotides long. Lineage: Eukaryota; Metazoa; Mollusca; Cephalopoda; Sepiida; Sepiidae. The record is from the annotation of a GenBank genome assembly.
UUGCGCCCAUAUCAUGUUGAAAUACCGGAUCCCGAAGUUAAGAACGAAGUUAAGCCAUGUUCAGCCUAAUCAGUACUUAGAUAGGUGACCAAUUGGGAAUACCAGGUGCUGUAG